CCUACGGGAGGCAGCAGUGGGGAAUAUUGCGCAAUGGGCGAAAGCCUGACGCAGCGACGCCGCGUGAGGGAUGAAGGUCUUCGGAUCGUAAAACUCUGUCAGCAGGGAAGAACGGUCACGGUGCUAAUCAGCAGUGCAUUGACGGUACCUGCAAAGGAAGCACCGGCUAACUCCGUGCCAGCAGCCGCGGUAAUACGGAGGGUGCGAGCGUUAAUCGGAAUUACUGGGCGUAAAGCGCUCGUAGGCGGUAUGUCAAGUCAAGGGUGAAAUCCCCGGGCUCAACGUGGGAAGUGCCUUUGAAACUGGGAAACUUGAGUGUGUGAGAGGAUAGUGGAAGUCCAGGUGGAGGGGUGAAAGGCGUAGAUAUAUGGAGGAACAGCAGUGGCGAAGGCGACUAUCUGGCACAUAACUGACGCUGAGGAGCGAAAGCGUGGGUAGCAAACAGGAUUAGAUACCCCAGUAGUC
Molecule: ribosomal RNA, 465 nt
Filed under: uncultured bacterium
Lineage: Bacteria
Description: partial 16S ribosomal RNA
Rfam family: Bacterial small subunit ribosomal RNA
Source: RNAcentral